This 859-nucleotide ribosomal RNA is filed under the name uncultured bacterium. RNAcentral describes it as "bacterial SSU rRNA". It matches the Rfam family "Bacterial small subunit ribosomal RNA", at positions 56 to 907 of the family's 1533-position model. The record is from RNAcentral.
UGCAGUCGAGCGGCAGCACGGGAAGCUUGCUUCCUGGUGGCGAGCGGCGGACGGGUGAGUAAUGUAUAGAAAUCUGCCCGGUAGUGGGGGAUAACCUGGGGAAACCCAGGCUAAUACCGCAUACGUCCUACGGGAGAAAGCAGGGGAUCUUCGGACCUUGCGCUAUCAGAUGAGUCUAUGUCGGAUUAGCUUGUUGGUGAGGUAAUGGCUCACCAAGGCGACGAUCCGUAGCUGGUCUGAGAGGAUGAUCAGCCACAUCGGGACUGAGACACGGCCCGAACUCCUACGGGAGGCAGCAGUGGGGAAUAUUGGACAAUGGGCGAAAGCCUGAUCCAGCCAUGCCGCGUGUGUGAAGAAGGCCUUCGGGUUGUAAAGCACUUUCAGUGGGGAAGAAAGCCUUGGGGCUAAUACCCUCGAGGAAGGACAUCACCCACAGAAGAAGCACCGGCUAACUCCGUGCCAGCAGCCGCGGUAAUACGGAGGGUGCGAGCGUUAAUCGGAAUUACUGGGCGUAAAGCGCGCGUAGGCGGUCUGAUAAGCCGGUUGUGAAAGCCCCGGGCUCAACCUGGGAACGGCAUCCGGAACUGUCAGGCUAGAGUGCAGGAGAGGAAGGUAGAAUUCCCGGUGUAGCGGUGAAAUGCGUAGAGAUCGGGAGGAAUACCAGUGGCGAAGGCGGCCUUCUGGACUGACACUGACGCUGAGGUGCGAAAGCGUGGGUAGCAAACAGGAUUAGAUACCCUGGUAGUCCACGCCGUAAACGAUGUCGACUAGCCGUUGGGCUCCUUGAGAGCUUUGUGGCGCANUUAACGCGAUAAGUCGACCGCCUGGGGAGUACNGCCGCANGGUNNAAACUCAAAUG